CGCUGAUCGCUAUCGUGACUGUUGGCCGGGAUUUUCUUUAUUGCAUCACUAUUUAUGAGUCAGUGUUCUUAUUGUUUCAGGGCGACACACCUCGAAAGUCUUGCCCGGCGACGUCAACGAAGAAAAAUACAACGUCUGCAAAUCUUGACUCGCUGAAUAAUGAUUUUGUUAUUCUCAAAUCAGAAGAUCCGAUAUUACAGAUACAUCUCAAUUUGAAGCCGGCACGACUGCAUGUUCAUCUUUUGACCCAGAAAUGAGGCUUGCCAAUCUUUGCAGUCAAGGAACCGCCCGUGCAGGCUUUCCUGCAUUGCAGCUCCGAGCCAAAACCUGGAUGUUUGAAGGGUUUUUUUCAGCUUUUAUCACAAGAAAACAAAAAGCAGAGAGGUGCGAUUCGUUGCCACGUGUACUUUGAUCCCUGUGUUAAAAACAAUGUACUGGAGAUGAUUCCCUAUUCGGGUAAAUAUCCGACAAACAAUGCCAGAGAGAAGCCAUUCUUCUGUCCAAAUAGAGGGGAAAUCCACACAAUUAUACACACUAAUACCCACAGGCAUAUCGGUUAUUGAGCUCCACUAACGCACAACACAAAUAAUUAAAACAAUGAGCCAAAUUGGAUAUCACUCUGCUUUAUAAUGCAGCUAAUUGAACAAAUUAACAAAUGAGCAAAAACACGGCACAAUACUGUGAACCGAGUUCAUUUCCAUUAAAUGAUAAAACAUUCCAGCCAAUUCAGUUCUUCUUCUUUUUUUUU
Long non-coding RNA from Gasterosteus aculeatus aculeatus (three-spined stickleback), 748 nucleotides. Lineage: Eukaryota; Metazoa; Chordata; Actinopteri; Perciformes; Gasterosteidae. The record is from Ensembl.